This 412-nucleotide ribosomal RNA is filed under the name uncultured bacterium. Its description in RNAcentral is "bacterial SSU rRNA". It matches the Rfam family "Bacterial small subunit ribosomal RNA", at positions 506 to 916 of the family's 1533-position model. The record is from RNAcentral.
UGCCAGCAGCCGCGGUAAUACAGAGGUGGCAAGCGUUGUUCGGAUUUAUUGGGCGUAAAGGGUCCGUAGGCGGCCUGAAAAGUUGGAUGUGAAAUCCCACAGCUUAACUGUGGAACUGCAUUCAAAACUUUCAGGCUCGAGUGUGAUAGGGGUAAAGGGAAUUCCCGGUGUAAGGGUGAAAUCUGCAGAGAUCGGGAGGAACACCAGUCGCGAAGGCGCUUUACUGGAUCACUACUGACGCUGAGGGACGAAAGCCAGGGGAGCAAACGGGAUUAGAUACCCCGGUAGUCCUGGCCGUAAACGAUGGACACUAGGUGUUGGGGGGGUUAAACCCUUCGGUGCCAAAGCUCACGCAUUAAGUGUCCCGCCUGGGGAGUACGGUCGCAAGGCUGAAACUCAAAGAAAUUGACGG